This 1073-nucleotide long non-coding RNA is filed under the name Heterocephalus glaber (naked mole-rat). Its description in RNAcentral is "lncRNA (ENSHGLG00000047851.1)". The record is from RNAcentral. Lineage: Eukaryota; Metazoa; Chordata; Mammalia; Rodentia; Bathyergidae.
CACCCCCAGGAGAGAAAGAAAGUUGGGCUGGAGGCGGAGGCAACAGCCAUGCCUAUUUCCUCCCCUUGACUCCGCGGCCGGCGCUGGGGCCGCGGCGGAGGCGGCUGACAUGGUCAACAAAUUUAUCAAAGAAUCCCCUGGCUUUUGAAGAAUAGUACUUUAUGCAUCUGGAUCUGCACAUCCAGGCAAAGCUCAGAAAUACCCAUUUAUUCUUUAACCACAUGGAUGUGUCUAUUUUUGGAGGAAGAAGGAAACAUAUAAAUGCCUGGGUUGCAUCUAUGCUGUAGUUGCAAACACUGAACAGUUAAGAAGAUUUUGCCUAAUUCUGCAAAGCAGCCAACAAAGCGCCUUGGGAUCCUGGUAAUACAAGUAGGAAGACUCUUGCUCUCCUUUGGCAAUGUUUUGGAUAUCCUUGAAAACGACAGCAAACUGUGCCUCAAUUUGACUAAGAAGAGGUUAAACCAUAUUGAUAUUCAUCCAAAGUGAUUUUGUGAAACCAGAUGCUUGGCUUUCAUGGAAAAAAAAAAUGGGAGUUGUGGAAGAUUCACCUAAACUACCAACUCAAGCAUCCCAGACCACUGAAAUAGUCUGCAUUGUACUUCAGCACUUUCUUUUCAUCGUUAUUACGUAAAACCGCUGGAAGCACCUUGGGCGUUUUACAUUUUCUUUUCUUUGCUGCACAAGGAAGCAGUCUACUCCCUGGAAUUCUGAUCUGUCGUGAACAGGACCCUGGCACAGGCUGUGUUGGAGACUCCAGGACAAUCCCGCCUCUAAACAGCCCGGUUAAUUGUGAAAAGUGUACACAUUUCUGGCUUAUCUAUGCUUUGUUAUGGGUCUGACGUGAAACUACCUCCUUCUCACCCCACCCCCCAGCAGAGAACCGAAAUCCAGUAGAAUUGUUAGUGUUUCGGAGCUGGAGCCUUGAACUGCUUCCUUGGUCAAAUAACUUUGUUUCUGGUUGUAAAAAAGCCAUUUCGGGGGGGAAAAAAGGAAAAUCGAGAGAAAUUCCAAACGUAAGUGUGUACGGGGGUGGUUCACAGCGUGGUUUAACUUUGGAGCUGCAGUCUCGUUCC